This 73-nucleotide transfer RNA is filed under the name Halorarum halophilum. RNAcentral's name for it is "Halobaculum halophilum tRNA". It matches the Rfam family "tRNA". From Rfam's summary of the family: Transfer RNA (tRNA) molecules are approximately 80 nucleotides in length. Their secondary structure includes four short double-helical elements and three loops (D, anti-codon, and T loops). Further hydrogen bonds mediate the characteristic L-shaped molecular structure. tRNAs have two regions of fundamental functional importance: the anti-codon, which is responsible for specific mRNA codon recognition, and the 3' end, to which the tRNAs corresponding amino acid is attached (by aminoacyl-tRNA synthetases). tRNAs cope with the degeneracy of the genetic code in two manners: having more than one tRNA (with a specific anti-codon) for a particular amino acid; and 'wobble' base-pairing, i.e. permitting non-standard base-pairing at the 3rd anti-codon position. The record is from Rfam by way of RNAcentral. Lineage: Archaea; Methanobacteriati; Methanobacteriota; Halobacteria; Halobacteriales; Haloferacaceae.
GCUCCUGUAGUUCAGCGGCCAGAGCAUCCGCCUUCUAAGCGGAGAGUCGUCGGUUCGAAUCCGACCAGGAGUA